Molecule: microRNA precursor, 81 nt
Filed under: Mus spretus (western wild mouse)
Lineage: Eukaryota; Metazoa; Chordata; Mammalia; Rodentia; Muridae
Description: predicted gene, 55807 (ENSMSPG00010010442.1)
Source: RNAcentral
CAUGUAUGUGUAUGUGCACGUGUAUAUGUGUGAAUGUAUACUCAUACACACACACACAAACACACACAGGCAUACCACAUA